Molecule: long non-coding RNA, 220 nt
Filed under: Homo sapiens (human)
Lineage: Eukaryota; Metazoa; Chordata; Mammalia; Primates; Hominidae
Source: RNAcentral
CGUGAAUGUGAUGGUGGACACUUUGAACUAUGAGGAUGAAGGCAAUACUUUGGAGACAGCAAGGCAAAGCGUUAAAAAGAGCUUGAGCUCUCAACACCGCUGCUGAACAGAUGCACCCCAUCAGCAGGGACUUUCUACCUGGGAGGCUAAAACGGCGCUCUUUACUUUGUGCACCUGAACACUGCACACCGAGGGCGACCACCGCCCCCGAGAUGCCCAG